AUGGAUUCAUAUGAUGAAUUGAUGACAUCUCAGUGUGCAUAUUCAGUGGCUCGAUGCUUUGAGCCUUUCCUGUCUGACAAAGGUCCCAAGUUAUAUCUAUUGCACACUUUUCAGCUGCUGGCAGAAUUUACUUUACUAACUUUCAGCGUUGCAACAGAGAUUCAAUCUAUGGUACAGGACACCAAGACAAAGUUUGAGAAGGAAAGGAUGAUCCAAUAUCUUCAGGGAAGAAGGAGAGGACUUCUAGUAUUUCUGAUCUUGAGAAAACAGUUUUCAGAGAAGCUAGCAGAUGCAGACGAAUCUCUGAAGAAGUUGAAGCAGGGUGACAAAUCCAUCAAUUGUUUUCACAAGUCGCUUCACAAGUCCUUUGCCUCAUUCCUGGGCCCCGACGAGGAGGAGGACUGA
RNAcentral lists this ribosomal RNA (405 nucleotides) under Triticum aestivum (bread wheat). RNAcentral's name for it is "partial small subunit ribosomal RNA". Lineage: Eukaryota; Viridiplantae; Streptophyta; Magnoliopsida; Poales; Poaceae. The record is from RNAcentral.